GCAAGUCGAACGAGAUCCUUCGGGGUCUAGUGGCGCACGGGUGCGUAACGCGUGGGAAUCUGCCUUUCGGUACGGAAUAACUCAGGGAAACUUGUGCUAAUACCGUAUGACGUCGCGAGACCAAAGAUUUAUCGCCGAAAGAUGAGCCCGCGUAGGAUUAGCUAGUUGGUGGGGUAAAGGCCUACCAAGGCGACGAUCCUUAGCUGGUCUGAGAGGAUGAUCAGCCACACUGGGACUGAGACACGGCCCAGACUCCUACGGGAGGCAGCAGUGGGGAAUAUUGGACAAUGGGCGAAAGCCUGAUCCAGCAAUGCCGCGUGAGUGAUGAAGGCCUUAGGGUUGUAAAGCUCUUUUACCCGGGAUGAUAAUGACAGUACCGGGAGAAUAAGCCCCGGCUAACUCCGUGCCAGCAGCCGCGGUAAUACGGAGGGGGCUAGCGUUGUUCGGAAUUACUGGGCGUAAAGCGUACGUAGGCGGUGACUCAAGUCAGAGGUGAAAGCCCGGGGCUCAACUCCGGAAUUGCCUUUGAAACUAGGUCGCUUGAACGUCGGAGAGGUGAGUGGAAUUCCGAGUGUAGAGGUGAAAUUCGUAGAUAUUCGGAAGAACACCAGUGGCGAAGGCGGCUCACUGGACGACUGUUGACGCUGAGGUACGAAAGCGUG
RNAcentral lists this ribosomal RNA (662 nucleotides) under uncultured soil bacterium. RNAcentral describes it as "bacterial SSU rRNA". It matches the Rfam family "Bacterial small subunit ribosomal RNA", at positions 57 to 763 of the family's 1533-position model. The record is from RNAcentral.